CUUGAUGCCGCCCAGCCGCAGCGGGCGGUCCUCCGGGCGGUUCUGGCCGUAGGUGGCGAGGAGCGCCUGGGCCUC
This is a non-coding RNA of Streptomyces sp., 75 nucleotides long. NCBI's taxonomy places the organism in Bacteria, Bacillati, Actinomycetota, Actinomycetes, Kitasatosporales, Streptomycetaceae. The record is from Rfam.